UACGGAGGGUGCAAGCGUUAUCCGGAUUUACUGGGUUUAAAGGGUGCGUAGGCGGGCUUUUAAGUCAGCGGUGAAAGCUUCGGGCUUAACCCGGAAAUUGCCGUUGAUACUAUUAGUCUUGAAUUAAGUUGAGGUGGGCGGAAUAUGUCAUGUAGCGGUGAAAUGCUUAGAUAUGACAUAGAACACCGAUUGCGAAGGCAGCUCGCUAAACUUAUAUUGACGCUGAGGCACGAAAGCGUGGGGAUCAAACAGG
RNAcentral lists this ribosomal RNA (253 nucleotides) under uncultured prokaryote. Its description in RNAcentral is "partial 16S ribosomal RNA". It matches the Rfam family "Bacterial small subunit ribosomal RNA", at positions 524 to 776 of the family's 1533-position model. The record is from RNAcentral.